RNAcentral lists this ribosomal RNA (301 nucleotides) under uncultured bacterium. Its description in RNAcentral is "partial 16S ribosomal RNA". It matches the Rfam family "Bacterial small subunit ribosomal RNA", at positions 509 to 807 of the family's 1533-position model. The record is from RNAcentral.
CAGUAGCCGCGGUAAUACGGAGGGGGCUAGCGUUGUUCGGAAUUACUGGGCGUAAAGCGCACGUAGGCGGCUUGGUAAGUUAGAGGUGAAAGCCUGGAGCUCAACUCCAGAAUUGCCUUUAAGACUGCCGAGCUAGCAGGUGAGAGAGGUAAGUGGAAUUCCGAGUGUAGAGGUGAAAUUCGUAGAGAUCGGAAGGAACAUCUGUGGCGAAGGCGACUAUCUGGGCCAACACUGACACUGAGGCACGAAAGCGUGUGGAGCAAACAGGAUUAGAUACCCCCGUAGUCCCUGUCUCUUAUAC